RNAcentral lists this long non-coding RNA (1306 nucleotides) under Selaginella moellendorffii. Its description in RNAcentral is "long non-coding RNA (SMOE_LNC001439)". The record is from RNAcentral. Lineage: Eukaryota; Viridiplantae; Streptophyta; Lycopodiopsida; Selaginellales; Selaginellaceae.
AGCGUAGGCGUACUGUCCAAAGUUUACGGCAGCAUGGUGUGCAGAUGCCAACCAGAUCACAGUUGUGAGCACGCUUACCAGGUUCGGCUUGCUAUUCAUUUCCACCCACCAUGUCUCGUCUUUCUUGUCACCGUGACCAACGUUAACAAUUUCCGUCCACCAUGCCUGUAGUUCCUUGUCACUCUCUAUGUCUGCGUCAUCUUCGUAGCAGCUAUCUACAUAUUCCUGUGUCCACCUCUCAAUUGCAUCCCAAAUCUCCAAACCGUCUGCUGCAUAUGGAUAGUCGUUGAUAGCCAGUUUGAGGCCAUGCUUUGAGUUUGCAUCUGGAGUUGCCAUUCCCCUGGAAAAUGUUCGAACUUUUAGAUUGUUUUACAUCCCUUGCGAUGCCUACCUUUUCAGUAAAUCUGCAGGAAGUCCUUGGUCGUCGAACCUCCAUGUCCUAUAGACAACGGAGCUCAACUCCAUUGAGUACCUCCUUGUUGAGAAGCAUUUCUCUAUUAUACCAUCAGCAUUUAUCAGUGACUGCCUGGCUCGAGCGUUGAUUGACAUUGUGUUCUUGAAGUGUGGAACCAGGAACGGAUUCAAGGGAUGAAGCGCACUCAGGUUUCGAUGUGUCGCAAUGAUAAAAGGUUCCAGGCAGGCAUGAGUUCUUAAACUGCAGAGGAAAAACAUGUCAGGUAUGAGAGACGGCAUUGUUGACAGCUUACAAGUGACUUAUGAGCUGGUGAUAUCCUGAAUCAUUUGUAGUUACGUGUGCUUUUGCGAGAUGCCAUAACCAAUCCUCUGUUCCUGGUGCAGGUGGAAGAAACACCCUUUUGUUUUCUGACUUGGAGGAAGAAUCCGGUGGCAAGCUCAACUCGAUGGCAAUAGGCUUUAGAGUUCCAUCCGCUUUGAGGUACAGUAGAGUUCUGGAUGCGUAAGCGUGGAUUUCCUUGAUGCUGUUGAUUUUGGUCAAGUAAGGCAAGUAUGCAUCAUGGUAGUCUAAGAUGAAUAGCUUCUUGUUCUCAAGUGCCUGCUCAUAUGAGUCAGUAAAAAUCGUCACCAAGUUCCAUUUUUCUUACUUGCUGGACUGUGUUUCCUUCAAGCUGAGAGACAAUAUGUUCUUCUGUAAUGGCUGACUUUUGUGUUCCGUAUACUGCUGGGUCCAGCGUGCUUUCUGGUGGAAAAACCUGCAUACAGCGGGUCAUUUUUCUUACCAGCAUUUUGAAACUAGAUUACCUCUAGUAGCUGAAUCGCCAUGGGGUUUAGUCCGCUGAUCAUCUGCCUUGCGAAUUCGGCGUCGGACAUCCAUCCUUUCUCGUUGGCU